RNAcentral lists this ribosomal RNA (639 nucleotides) under uncultured bacterium. Its description in RNAcentral is "bacterial SSU rRNA". It matches the Rfam family "Bacterial small subunit ribosomal RNA", at positions 213 to 843 of the family's 1533-position model. The record is from RNAcentral.
UCGCGUUUUCGGAGCGGCCGAUAUCGGAUUAGCUAGUAGGUGAGGUAAAGGCUCACCUAGGCGACGAUCCGUAGCUGGUCUGAGAGGACGACCAGCCACACUGGAACUGAGACACGGUCCAGACUCCUACGAGAGGCAGCAGUGGGGAAUUUUGGACAAUGGGCGAAAGCCUGAUCCAGCCAUGCCGCGUGAGUGAAGAAGGCCUUCGGGUUGUAAAGCUCUUUCAGCCGGAAAGAAAACGCAUGGGUUAAUAACCUGUGUGGAUGACGGUACCGGAAGAAGAAGCACCGGCUAACUACGUGCCAGCAGCCGCGGUAAUACGUAGGGUGCGAGCGUUAAUCGGAAUUACUGGGCGUAAAGCGUGCGCAGGCGGUUUUGUAAGACAGAUGUGAAAUCCCCGGGCUUAACCUGGGAACUGCAUUUGUGACUGCAAGGCUAGAGUACGGCAGAGGGGGGUAGAAUUCCACGUGUAGCAGUGAAAUGCGUAGAUAUGUGGAGGAAUACCGAUGGCGAAGGCAGCCCCCUGGGUCGAUACUGACGCUCAUGCACGAAAGCGUGGGGAGCAAACAGGAUUAGAUACCCUGGUAGUUCACGCCCUAAACGAUGUCAACUAGGUGUUGGGGGAGGAGACUUCCUUAG